GCCUUCGUGGUGUAGUGGUCAGCACGUUCGGCGCGUAUUUGAGAGGUCCGUGGUUCGAGUCCCGCCAAGGGCA
This 73-nucleotide transfer RNA is filed under the name Stegodyphus mimosarum. It matches the Rfam family "tRNA". From Rfam's summary of the family: Transfer RNA (tRNA) molecules are approximately 80 nucleotides in length. Their secondary structure includes four short double-helical elements and three loops (D, anti-codon, and T loops). Lineage: Eukaryota; Metazoa; Arthropoda; Arachnida; Araneae; Eresidae. The record is from Rfam by way of RNAcentral.